GGGGAUAACACUUGGAAACAGGUGCUAAUACCGCAUAACCAUAGUUACCGCAUGGUAACUAUGUAAAAGGUGGCUAUGCUACCGCUUUUGGAUGGGCCCGCGGCGCAUUAGCUAGUUGGUGGGGUAAAGGCUUACCAAGGCAAUGAUGCGUAGCCGAACUGAGAGGUUGAUCGGCCACAUUGGGACUGAGACACGGCCCAAACUCCUACGGGAGGCAGCAGUAGGGAAUCUUCCACAAUGGGCGAAAGCCUGAUGGAGCAACGCCGCGUGGGUGAAGAAGGUCUUCGGAUCGUAAAACCCUGUUGUUAGAGAAGAAAGUGCGUGAGAGUAACUGUUCACGUUUCGACGGUAUCUAACCAGAAAGCCACGGCUAACUACGUGCCAGCAGCCGCGGUAAUACGUAGGUGGCAAGCGUUAUCCGGAUUUAUUGGGCGUAAAGGGAACGCAGGCGGUCUUUUAAGUCUGAUGUGAAAGCCUUCGGCUUAACCGGAGUAGUGCAUUGGAAACUGGGAGACUUGAGUGCAGAAGAGGAGAGUGGAACUCCAUGUGUAGCGGUGAAAUGCGUAGAUAUAUGGAAGAACACCAGUGGCGAAAGCGGCUCUCUGGUCUGUAACUGACGCUGAGGUUCGAAAGCGUGGGUAGCAAACAGGAUUAGAUACCCUGGUAGUCCACGCCGUAAACGACGA
This 686-nucleotide ribosomal RNA is filed under the name uncultured bacterium. Its description in RNAcentral is "bacterial SSU rRNA". It matches the Rfam family "Bacterial small subunit ribosomal RNA", at positions 139 to 812 of the family's 1533-position model. The record is from RNAcentral.